Molecule: long non-coding RNA, 264 nt
Organism: Thunnus maccoyii (southern bluefin tuna)
Lineage: Eukaryota; Metazoa; Chordata; Actinopteri; Scombriformes; Scombridae
Exons: 3
Source: RefSeq, a predicted model, not a curated record
CUGGCAGCAGCGUCUCUCCUCUCACGCCGUGUGGACGCAGGCAGGAGUAAGAGUGCUGAGAGAUGAACCCGCAGAGAGAAAAGAAAUCAUGUCAGAAGCUGAGCGACGAAGGCUGCAAAGGCUGUCAGGUCUAUGAGGUCUUCUGACCAGAGCUUGCUGUCUCUCCCUCAGUCAAAACUCUAAAGCAAGGAUGACCGAGCUUUCACCGCAGCGGCCCCAAAGCUCUGGACAGUCUCCCUACGGACGUCAGAACUCCCUCAAGAA